RNAcentral lists this ribosomal RNA (253 nucleotides) under uncultured bacterium. RNAcentral's name for it is "partial 16S ribosomal RNA". It matches the Rfam family "Bacterial small subunit ribosomal RNA", at positions 524 to 776 of the family's 1533-position model. The record is from RNAcentral.
UACGGAGGGUGCGAGCGUUAAUCGGAAUUACUGGGCGUAAAGCGCACGCAGGCGGUUUGUUAAGCUAGAUGUGAAAGCCCCGGGCUCAACCUGGGAUGGUCAUUUAGAACUGGCAGACUAGAGUCUUGGAGAGGGGAGUGGAAUUCCAGGUGUAGCAGUGAAAUGCGUAGAUAUCUGGAGGAACAUCAGUGGCGAAGGCGACUCCCUGGCCAAAGACUGACGCUCAUGUGCGAAAGUGUGGGUAGCGAACAGC